UGAGGAAUAUUGGGCAAUGCCCGCAAGGGUGACCCAGCAACGCCGCGUGGAGGAUGAAUGUCGUAAGAUUGUAAACUCCUGUUAGAGGGGAAGAAUAGUACCGGUUGGACCGGUAUAUGACUGUACCCUCAGAGAAAGCCCCGGCUAACUACGUGCCAGCAGCCGCGGUAAUACGUAGGGGGCAAGCGUUGUCCGGAUUUACUGGGUGUAAAGGGCGCGCAGGCGGGAUAAAAAGUCAGUGGUGAAAUCCUACAGCUUAACUGUAGAGCUGCCUUUGAUACUUUUAUUCUUGAGUUCGGGAGAGAGAGACGGAAUUCCAGGUGUAGUGGUGAAAUACGUAGAUAUCUGGAAGAACACCAGUUGCGAAGGCGGUCUCUUGGUCCGACACUGACGCUGAGGCGCGAAAGCGUGGGGAGCAAACA
This 422-nucleotide ribosomal RNA is filed under the name uncultured bacterium. RNAcentral describes it as "bacterial SSU rRNA". It matches the Rfam family "Bacterial small subunit ribosomal RNA", at positions 355 to 774 of the family's 1533-position model. The record is from RNAcentral.